Molecule: ribosomal RNA, 305 nt
Filed under: uncultured bacterium
Lineage: Bacteria
Description: bacterial SSU rRNA
Rfam family: Bacterial small subunit ribosomal RNA
Source: RNAcentral
CAUCCUACGGGACGAAGCAGUGGGGAAUAGUGCAUAAUGGGGGAAAUCCUGAUGCAGCAACGCCGCGUGAGUGAGGAAGUAUUUCGGUAUGUAAAGCUCUAUCAGCAGGGAAUAGAAAAGAAGGUACCUGAAAAAGAAGCCCCGGCUAACUACGUGCCAGCAGCCGCGGUAAUACGUAGGGGGCACGCGUUAUCCGGAUUUACUGGGUGUAAGGGAGCGUAGACGGAAAGGCAAGUCAGAAGAGAAAACACAAGGCUCAACAAUGGGACUGCUUUUGAAAAUGUCAAACUAGAGUACGGGAGAGG